The sequence is a small nucleolar RNA, 74 nucleotides long. Its record names the gene SNORD24. It matches the Rfam family "Small nucleolar RNA SNORD24". Rfam says of the family: U24 is a member of the C/D class of snoRNA which contain the C (UGAUGA) and D (CUGA) box motifs. C/D box snoRNAs have been shown to act as methylation guides for a number of RNA targets. U24 is encoded within an intron of the gene for ribosomal protein L7a in mammals, chicken and Fugu. The record is from Ensembl.
UGCAAGUGAUGUGAAGAGUGUUUGCCGUCUGAGUGAUGGUGGGGACGCUCCUAACCACCAAGAUCGCUGAUGCA